This 270-nucleotide ribosomal RNA is filed under the name uncultured archaeon. RNAcentral describes it as "partial 16S ribosomal RNA". It matches the Rfam family "Archaeal small subunit ribosomal RNA", at positions 477 to 747 of the family's 1478-position model. The record is from RNAcentral.
CUGCAGCUCGAGUGGUGGCCGCUAUUAUUGGGCCUAAAACGUCCGUAGCCGGUUUAGUAAAUGCCUGGGUAAAUCGUGUAGCUUAACUAUACGAAUUCCGGGUAGACUGCUAGACUUGGGACCGGGAGAGGCUAGAGGUACUCCUGGGGUAGAGGUGAAAUUCUGUAAUCCUAGGGGGACCACCAGUGGCGAAGGCGUCUAGCUAGAACGGGUCUGACGGUGAGGGACGAAGCCCUGGGGCGCAAACCGGAUUAGAUACCCGAGUAGUCC